Canis lupus familiaris (dog) is the source of this 448-nucleotide long non-coding RNA. RefSeq lists it as uncharacterized. The transcript has 2 exons. The record is from RefSeq and is a predicted model, not a curated record. Lineage: Eukaryota; Metazoa; Chordata; Mammalia; Carnivora; Canidae.
GGGAGGGGGUUAAAAUCUCUUACAUAGUUGUGGAUUUGUACUUUUGUCCCGUAAGUGCCCAGUUUUGCUUUGUAUAUCCUGAGACUCUUCUUCAGACUCUUCUGGCAGGUGCUCACACGUUUAACACGGUUGCCCGUCUCGGGGAAACCAAAUGUUUCUCGUCACUGUGAAGUGUCCUCUUCUCAGCUGGUUUUUCCACUUUGAAGUCGGCUUUGGGAUGCAUGCCUCUCUCUAUUAUGGAUGUUCUCAAACACACCAACAUGAAAUUAAAGCAGUAAUGGAUUACCUAUCGCUCCCACCAACUUCAGUUUUAUCAAACUAGAGCCGAUCAUAUCUAAUCCCUCUAAAUGGUGAGGACUUUAAAGAAAGACAACUCUGAUGUUACUAUUUUCAUAAAACAAUGAAUAAUUACUUCUUAAUAUUAUUAAAUUUCCAUCUGCUUUUUUCA